UUUUUGAAUUGAUAAUAUAAAGUCUAAUCUGCCCACUGAUAAUAAAUUAAAGGGCUGCAGUAUUUUGACUGUACAAAGGUAGCAUAAUCAUUAGUCUCUUAAUUGGUGACUUGUAUGAAAGAUUUGAUGAGAUAUAAACUGUCUCUUUUUAAUUUUUAAAAUUUAAUUUUUUAGUUAAAAAGCUAAAAUAUAUUUAAAAGACGAGAAGACCCUAUAGAGUUUAAUAUUUAAUAUAUAUAUAUUAAAUAUUUUUUGUAAAAUUUAUAAUUUUAAUAUAAAUAAAUAUUUUAUUGGGGUGAUAGAAAAAUUAAAAUAACUUUUUUUGUAAUUUUACAUUGAUAAAUGAUUAAGUGAUCCGUAAUUUACGAUUAUAAGAAAAAAUUACCUUAGGGAUAACAGCGUAAUUUUUUUUUUUAGUUCAAAUAAGAAAAAAAGUUUGCGACCUCGAUGUUGGAUUAAGAUAAAAUUUAAAUGCAAAAGUUUAAAAUUUUUGAUCUGUUCGAUCAUUAAAAUCUUACA
Molecule: ribosomal RNA, 519 nt
Filed under: Parnassius mnemosyne pseudonubilosus
Lineage: Eukaryota; Metazoa; Arthropoda; Insecta; Lepidoptera; Papilionidae
Description: partial 16S ribosomal RNA
Rfam family: Bacterial large subunit ribosomal RNA (bases 392-519)
Source: RNAcentral